RNAcentral lists this ribosomal RNA (427 nucleotides) under uncultured prokaryote. Its description in RNAcentral is "bacterial SSU rRNA". It matches the Rfam family "Bacterial small subunit ribosomal RNA", at positions 355 to 774 of the family's 1533-position model. The record is from RNAcentral.
UGGGGAAUUUUGGACAAUGGGGGCAACCCUGAUCCAGCCAUGCCGCGUGAGUGAAGAAGGCCUUCGGGUUGUAAAGCUCUUUCGGCCGGGACGAAAUCGCAUGGGCUAAUACCCUGUGCGGAUGACGGUACCGGAAUAAGAAGCACCGGCUAACUACGUGCCAGCAGCCGCGGUAAUACGUAGGGUGCGAGCGUUAAUCGGAAUUACUGGGCGUAAAGCGUGCGCAGGCGGUUUUUUAAGAUAGGCGUGAAAUCCCCGGGCUUAACCUGGGAACUGCGCUUAGGACUGGAAGACUAGAGUACGGCAGAGGGGGGUGGAAUUCCACGUGUAGCAGUGAAAUGCGUAGAGAUGUGGAGGAACACCAAUGGCGAAGGCAGCCCCCUGGGCCGAUACUGACGCUCAUGCACGAAAGCGUGGGGAGCAAACA